UAUAAAACCUAAUAGUAUUUUGAACCAGAUGAAAAACUAGGGGAGACACCCUAGGCUGGAAUACUUCUCAAGGGACAGAGUUCCGUUAGCAGAGAUGCGACAGGUGAAGUCCUUACGAACUGUGGCAACACAGCGUAGUCGGAGGCGAGCAUCGCCAAGGGAGAAGUAGGUGCAGACUUAUCAGUAUCAAAAACAACACCGAACUACUCGGGACAAAUCGGGAGACCACACUGUUGGGCGUACCUAGGUAUUCUACGGGGUGACACCUGUGAGGACAAUGCCUAAAUGUCAAGAAAGUCCUUGAGAGCGUAAUUGAGGCUCGGCAACGAGCGUAUAAGAGUAGAAGGUGGUCCAAGUAGCCCAAACUUACGCUAUGAUUAACAAAUUAACUUUUGUUCUAGUGCGAUAGAAAAAAGAGCAAUUACUGCAUACGAGAGUAUGAAAAUGUCUAUUGCGGGUGAAAGGUGCGACGAAGGAUGUCGUAUGGGUUCUGGAACUUCGGUUCUGGCUAAACGUGGAGGUGCCGGCGGGUACCAAGGGCGGUUAGUCCCCAUUGUGUGAAUAUUGGUUGGGGUAAGAUCUGUAUAAGGAGGACUUGCAAAAUACUUUUCUUAUUAU
RNAcentral lists this non-coding RNA (618 nucleotides) under unclassified sequences. Its description in RNAcentral is "ROOL RNA". It matches the Rfam family "ROOL RNA". Rfam says of the family: Firmicutes, Fusobacteria (1 example), Tenericutes (1 example). Environment (Cow rumen (57)) The record is from Rfam by way of RNAcentral.